This 301-nucleotide ribosomal RNA is filed under the name uncultured bacterium. Its description in RNAcentral is "partial 16S ribosomal RNA". It matches the Rfam family "Bacterial small subunit ribosomal RNA", at positions 509 to 807 of the family's 1533-position model. The record is from RNAcentral.
CAGUCGCCACGGUAAUACGAAGGGGGCUAGCGUUGUUCGGAAUCACUGGGCGUAAAGCGCACGUAGGCGGACUUUUAAGUCAGGGGUGAAAUCCCAAGGCUCAACCUUGGAACUGCCUUUGAUACUGGAAGUCUUGAGUUCGGGAGAGGUGAGUGGAACUGCGAGUGUAGAGGUGAAAUUCGUAGAUAUUCGCAAGAACACCAGUGGCGAAGGCGGCUCACUGGCCCGAUACUGACGCUGAGGUGCGAAAGCGUGGGGAGCAAACAGGAUUAGAUACCCGCGUAGUCCCUGUCUCUUAUAC